This 326-nucleotide unclassified non-coding RNA is filed under the name soil metagenome. Its description in RNAcentral is "partial contains 5.8S ribosomal RNA, internal transcribed spacer 2, and large subunit ribosomal RNA". The stretch from base 1 to 120 matches the Rfam family "5.8S ribosomal RNA", at positions 35 to 154 of the family's 154-position model. The record is from RNAcentral.
GAUGAAGAACGUAGCGAAAUGCGAUAAGUAAUGUGAAUUGCAGAAUUCAGUGAAUCAUCGAAUCUUUGAACGCACAUUGCGCCCCUUGGAAUUCCGAGGGGCAUGCCUGUUCGAGCGUCAUAUUAACCACUCCCGCUUGCGGGGUCUUGGGCUUCGCCUCCGGGCGGGCCUUAAAAUCAGUGGCGGUGCCGUCGGGCUCUACGCGUAGUAAAUUUUCUCGCGAUAGGGUCCCGGUGGAUGCUUGCCAACAACCCCCAACUUCUUAAGGUUGACCUCGGAUCAGGUAGGGAUACCCGCUGAACUUAAGCAUAUCAAUAAGCGGAGGA